GGCUGGUCUGAAGGUAGUGAGUUAUCUCAAUUGAUUGUUCGCAGUCAGUUACAGGUCGAACUCCUUGUUCUACUCUUUCCCUUCUUCUCACUACUGCACUUGACUAGUCUUAA
Callithrix jacchus (white-tufted-ear marmoset) is the source of this 113-nucleotide Y RNA. It matches the Rfam family "Y RNA". Rfam says of the family: Y RNAs are components of the Ro ribonucleoprotein particle (Ro RNP), in association with Ro60 and La proteins. The Y RNAs and Ro60 and La proteins are well conserved, but the function of the Ro RNP is not known. The record is from Ensembl. NCBI's taxonomy places the organism in Eukaryota, Metazoa, Chordata, Mammalia, Primates, Cebidae.